This 506-nucleotide ribosomal RNA is filed under the name uncultured bacterium. RNAcentral's name for it is "partial 16S ribosomal RNA". It matches the Rfam family "Bacterial small subunit ribosomal RNA", at positions 30 to 523 of the family's 1533-position model. The record is from RNAcentral.
ACUGAACGCUGGCGGCAGGCCUAACCCAUGCAAGUCGAACGGUAACAGGAAGCAGCUUGCUGCUUCGCUGACGAGUGGCGGACGGGUGAGUAAUGUCUGGGAAACUGCCUGAUGGAGGGGGAUAACUACUGGAAACGGUAGCUAAUACCGCAUAACGUCGCAAGACCAAAGAGGGGGACCUUCGGGCCUCUUGCCAUCGGAUGUGCCCAGAUGGGAUUAGCUAGUAGGUGGGGUAACGGCUCACCUAGGCGACGAUCCCUAGCUGGUCUGAGAGGAUGACCAGCCACACUGGAACUGAGACACGGUCCAGACUCCUACGGGAGGCAGCAGUGGGGAAUAUUGCACAAUGGGCGCAAGCCUGAUGCAGCCAUGCCGCGUGUAUGAAGAAGGCCUUCGGGUUGUAAAGUACUUUCAGCGGGGAGGAAGGGAGUAAAGUUAAUACCUUUGCUCAUUGACGUUACCCGCAGAAGAAGCACCGGCUAACUCCGUGCCAGCCGCCGCGGUAA